RNAcentral lists this ribosomal RNA (488 nucleotides) under uncultured bacterium Riz1015. RNAcentral describes it as "partial 16S ribosomal RNA". It matches the Rfam family "Bacterial small subunit ribosomal RNA", at positions 8 to 493 of the family's 1533-position model. The record is from RNAcentral.
AGAGUUUGAUCAUGGCUCAGGACGAACGCUGGCGGCGUGCCUAAUACAUGCAAGUCGAGCGAAUCGAUGGGAGCUUGCUCCCAUUGAUUAGCGGCGGACGGGUGAGUAACACGUGGGUAACCUGCCNGUAAGAUUGGGAUAACUUCGGGAAACCGGAGCUAAUACCGGAUAGUUUCUUUUAUNGCAUGAGAGGAGAUGGAAAGAUGUUUCGGCUAUCACUUACAGAUGGACCCGCGGCGCAUUAGCUAGUUGGUGAGGUAACGGCUCACCAAGGCCACGAUGCGUAGCCGACCUGUGAGGGUGAUCGGCCACACUGGGACUGAGACACGGCCCAGACUCNUACGGGAGGCAGCAGUAGGGAAUCUUCCGCAAUGGACGAAAGUCUGACGGAGCAACGCCGCGUGAGCGAAGAAGGCCUUCGNGUNGUAAAGCUUCUGUUGUUAGGGAAGAANAAGUACNUUGAGUAACUGGGUCCACNNAAGGGGUNU